This 428-nucleotide ribosomal RNA is filed under the name uncultured bacterium. RNAcentral's name for it is "bacterial SSU rRNA". It matches the Rfam family "Bacterial small subunit ribosomal RNA", at positions 355 to 775 of the family's 1533-position model. The record is from RNAcentral.
UGGGGAAUAUUGGACAAUGGGGGCAACCCUGAUCCAGCGACGCCGCGUGUGUGAAGAAGGCCUGCGGGUUGUAAAGCACUUUUAGUGGGGAUGAAAAGCACAGGUCUAAUACAUCUGUGUCUUGACCUAACCCAAAGAAAAAGCACCGGCUAACUCUGUGCCAGCAGCCGCGGUAAUACAGAGGGUGCGAGCGUUAAUCGGAAUUACUGGGCGUAAAGCGUGCGUAGACGGUUAUUUAAGUCGGGUGUGAAAGCCCCGGGCUCAACCUGGGAAUUGCAUUCGAGACUGAAUAGCUAGGGUACGGUAGAGGGAAGCGGAAUUUCCGGUGUAGCGGUGAAAUGCGUAGAUAUCGGAAGGAACAUCAGUGGCGAAAGCGGCUUCCUGGACCAGUACCGACGUUCAGGCACGAAAGCGUGGGGAGCAAACAG